CAACCCUCAAGCCCUGCUUGGUGUUGGGGCCCUACGGCUGCCGUAGGCCCUGAAAAGAAGUGGCGGGCUCGCUGCAACUCCGAGCGUAGUAAUUCAUUAUCUCGCUAGGGAGGCGCGGCGGUGCUCCUGCCGUUAAAGACCAUCUUUAACCAAAGG
RNAcentral lists this unclassified non-coding RNA (156 nucleotides) under uncultured Coniochaeta. Its description in RNAcentral is "sequence contains ITS2". The record is from RNAcentral. Lineage: Eukaryota; Fungi; Ascomycota; Sordariomycetes; Coniochaetales.